CGUGCUGUGUGUUGAUGUUAACACUUUGAGGCAUGGUAUGCACAAGAGGCUCAGUGACAGCUGCCGUUGUUUGUGGCAAAGUAGCAUUGAUGGAGACAGCAUUUGUUGCAGGGAUCAGAACAUUGUUAGCAAUGCCCGAAGUGCCCGCUGCAGUACUGGGAGUGAAGAACGGUGGAAGCCCAUACGGAAACCCAGCUGGCAUAGCGAAGCGAGCGUCUGUAGAUGCAGUUGGGAGCA
RNAcentral lists this long non-coding RNA (237 nucleotides) under Medicago truncatula (barrel medic). RNAcentral's name for it is "long non-coding RNA (MTRU_LNC004871)". The record is from RNAcentral. Lineage: Eukaryota; Viridiplantae; Streptophyta; Magnoliopsida; Fabales; Fabaceae.